Molecule: ribosomal RNA, 468 nt
Filed under: uncultured bacterium
Lineage: Bacteria
Description: partial 16S ribosomal RNA
Rfam family: Bacterial small subunit ribosomal RNA
Source: RNAcentral
GACGAACGCUGGCGGCGUGCUUAACACAUGCAAGUCGAACGGAAAGGCCCUGCUUUUGUGGGGUGCUCGAGUGGCGAACGGGUGAGUAACACGUGAGUAACCUGCCCUUGACUUUGGGAAAACUUCAGGAAACUGGGGCAAAUACCGGAUAGGAGCUCCUGCUGCAUGGUGGGGGUUGGAAAGUUUCGGCGGUUGGGGGUGGACUGGCGGCUUAUCAGCUUGUUGGGGGGGUAGUGGGUUCCCAAGGCGUUGCCGGGGAGCCGGCCUGAGAGGGUGACCGGCGACAUAGGGACUGAGGGAAGGCCGAGACGGCUAAGGGAGGCAGCAGGGGGAAAGAUUGCACAAGGGACGGAGGCCGGAUGCAGCAGCGCCGCGUGCGGGAUGGCGGCCUUCGGGUUGUAGACCGCUUUCGCCUGUGACGGAGCGUGAGUGACGGUAACGGGUAAAGAAGCACCGGCUAACUACGUG